RNAcentral lists this ribosomal RNA (566 nucleotides) under Staphylococcus warneri. Its description in RNAcentral is "bacterial SSU rRNA". It matches the Rfam family "Bacterial small subunit ribosomal RNA", at positions 87 to 640 of the family's 1533-position model. The record is from RNAcentral. Lineage: Bacteria; Bacillati; Bacillota; Bacilli; Caryophanales; Staphylococcaceae.
UGACGUUAGCGGCGGACGGGUGAGUAACACGUGGAUAACCUACCUAUAAGACUGGGAUAACUUCGGGAAACCGGAGCUAAUACCGGAUAACAUAUUGAACCGCAUGGUUCAUGAUUGAAAGGCGGCUUUGCUGUUACUUAUAGAUGGAUCCCCGCCUUAUUAACUAGUUGGGAAGGUAACGGCUUACCCAGGGAACCAUACCUAACCCAACUGGGAGGGUGAUCGGCCACCCUGGAACUGAAACACCGUCCAAACUCCUACGGGAGGCAGCAGUAAGGAAUCUUCCGGAAUGGGCGAAAGCCUGAAGGAACCACCCCGCGUGAAUGAUGAAGGUCUUCCGAUCCUAAAACUCUGUUAGCAAGGAAAAACAAAUGUGUAAAUAACUGGGCCCAUCUUGACCGUACCUGAUCAGAAAGCCCCGGCUAACUACCUGCCAGCAGCCGCGGUAAUACGUAGGUGGCAAGCGUUAUCCGGAAUUAUUGGGCGUAAAGCGCGCGUAGGCUGUUUUUUAAGUCUGGAGUGACAGCCCACGGCUCAACCGUGGAGGGUCAUUGGAAACUGGAAAA